Molecule: ribosomal RNA, 398 nt
Filed under: uncultured bacterium
Lineage: Bacteria
Description: bacterial SSU rRNA
Rfam family: Bacterial small subunit ribosomal RNA
Source: RNAcentral
UAUUGCACAAUGGGGGAAACCCUGAUGCAGCGACGCCGCGUGAGCGAAGAAGUAUCUCGGUAUGUAAAGCUCUAUCAGCAGGGAAGAAACUGACGGUACCUGACUAAGAAGCUCCGGCUAAAUACUCGCCAGCAGCCGCGGUAAUACGUAUGGAGCAAGCGUUAUCCGGAUUUACUGGGUGUAAAGGGAGCGUAGGCGGCCAGACAAGUCUGAUGUGAAAGGCUGGGGCUCAACCCCAGGACUGCAUUGGAAACUGUGAGGCUAGAGUGUCGGGGAGGCAGGCGGAAUUCCUAGUGUAGCGGUGAGAUGCGUAGAUAUUAGGAGGAACACCAGUGGCGAAGGCGGCCUGCUGGACGAUGACUGACGCUGAGGCUCGAAAGCGUGGGGAGCAAACAGGA